RNAcentral lists this ribosomal RNA (468 nucleotides) under uncultured bacterium. RNAcentral describes it as "partial 16S ribosomal RNA". It matches the Rfam family "Bacterial small subunit ribosomal RNA", at positions 28 to 507 of the family's 1533-position model. The record is from RNAcentral.
GACGAACGCUGGCGGGGUGCUUAACACAUGCAAGUCGAACGGAAAGGCCCUGCUUUUGUGGGGUGCUCGAGCGGCGAACGGGUGAGUAACACGUGAGUAACCUGCCCUUGACUUUGGGAUAACUUCAGGAAACUGGGGCUAAUACCGGAUAGGAGCUCCUGCUGCAUGGUGGGGGUUGGAAAGUUUCGGCGGUUGGGGAUGGACUCGCGGCUUAUCAGCUUGUUGGUGGGGUAGUGGCUUACCAAGGCUUUGACGGGUAGCCGGCCUGAGAGGGUGACCGGCCACAUUGGGCCUGCGAUACGGCCCAGACUCCUACGGGAGGCAGCAGUGGGGAAUAGUGCACAAUGGGCGGAAGCCUGAUGCAGCAACGCCGCGUGCGGGAUGACGGCCUUCUGGUUGUAAACCGCUUUCGCCUGUGACGAAGCGUGAGUGACGGUAAUGGGUAAAGAAGCACCGGCUAACUACGUG